UAACGCGUAGGUAACCUACCUCAUAGCGGGGGAUAACUAUUGGAAACGAUAGCUAAUACCGCAUAAGAGAGACUAACGCAUGUUAGAAUUUAAAAGGGGCAAUUGCUCCACUAUGAGAUGGACCUGCGUUGUAUUAGCUAGUUGGUGAGGUAAAGGCUCACCAAGGCGACGAUACAUAGCCGACCUGAGAGGGUGAUCGGCCACACUGGGACUGAGACACGGCCAG
Molecule: ribosomal RNA, 226 nt
Filed under: uncultured Streptococcaceae bacterium
Lineage: Bacteria; Bacillati; Bacillota; Bacilli; Lactobacillales; Streptococcaceae
Description: partial 16S ribosomal RNA
Rfam family: Bacterial small subunit ribosomal RNA
Source: RNAcentral